This 206-nucleotide unclassified non-coding RNA is filed under the name Hevea brasiliensis (rubber tree). Lineage: Eukaryota; Viridiplantae; Streptophyta; Magnoliopsida; Malpighiales; Euphorbiaceae. The record is from RNAcentral.
UUGCAUUCAUAUAUUGCAUUUCAUUACCUUAUUAUGUCUAUAUUAUAUUUGUGUAUCAAAAAUCUAGAAAAUUCUUGCAAAUUUUGAACUUUUUGAAAAGGCUUUUAACUUAGAAUUAUAACUUAAACCUUGAUGAGCUAAUGAUUAGACUCUCUGGGAAAGAGGAAUGAAUGUAACUGAAUGGGCAAAAAGGCUUCAAUAUGUUG